RNAcentral lists this ribosomal RNA (649 nucleotides) under uncultured Bacilli bacterium. Its description in RNAcentral is "bacterial SSU rRNA". It matches the Rfam family "Bacterial small subunit ribosomal RNA", at positions 85 to 720 of the family's 1533-position model. The record is from RNAcentral. Lineage: Bacteria; Bacillati; Bacillota; Bacilli.
GGAAAGAGGAGUGGCGGACGGGUGAGUAACACGUGGGUAACCUACCCAUCAGAGGGGGAUAACACUUGGAAACAGGUGCUAAUACCGCAUAACAGUUUAUGCCGCAUGGCAUAAGAGUGAAAGGCGCUUUCGGGUGUCGCUGAUGGAUGGACCCGCGGUGCAUUAGCCAGUUGGUGAGGUAACGGCUCACCAAGGCCACGAUGCAUAGCCGACCUGAGAGGGUGAUCGGCCACACUGGGACUGAGACACGGCCCAGACUCCUACGGGAGGCAGCAGUAGGGAAUCUUCGGCAAUGGACGAAAGUCUGACCGAGCAACGCCGCGUGAGUGAAGAAGGUUUUCGGAUCGUAAAACUCUGUUGUUAGAGAAGAACAAGGACGUUAGUAACUGAACGUCCCCUGACGGUAUCUAACCAGAAAGCCACGGCUAACUACGUGCCAGCAGCCGCGGUAAUACGUAGGUGGCAAGCGUUGUCCGGAUUUAUUGGGCGUAAAGCGAGCGCAGGCGGUUUCUUAAGUCUGAUGUGAAAGCCCCCGGCUCAACCGGGGAGGGUCAUUGGAAACUGGGAGACUUGAGUGCAGAAGAGGAGAGUGGAAUUCCAUGUGUAGCGGUGAAAUGCGUAGAUAUAUGGAGGAACACCAGUGGCGAAG